This 468-nucleotide ribosomal RNA is filed under the name uncultured bacterium. Its description in RNAcentral is "partial 16S ribosomal RNA". It matches the Rfam family "Bacterial small subunit ribosomal RNA", at positions 28 to 507 of the family's 1533-position model. The record is from RNAcentral.
GACGAACGCUGGCGGCGUGCUUAAUACAUGCAAGUCGAACGGAAUGGCCCUGCUUUCUUUGUGUGCUAGAGUGGCGCACGGGUGUGUAACGCGUGCGUACCCUCUGUUUGACUUUGGUAUAACUUGAGGAAACGGGGGCUAAUACCGUAAACGUUUUCCUGCCGCAUGGUGGGGGUUGGAAAGUUUGGGCGGUUGGGGUUGGAGUCGGGGCUUAUCCGCUUGUUGGUGGGGGAGUGGCUUCCCAAGGCCUUGGCGGGUAUCCGGCCUUGGAAGGUGACCGGCGCCAUGGGGACUGCGAUACGGCCCAGAAGCCUACGGGAGGCAGCAGUCGGGAAUAUUGCACAAUGGGCGGGAGCCUGAUGCGGCAACGCUCCGUGCGGAAUGACGGCUUUCGGGUUAAAAACCGCUUUCGCAUGAAACGAAGCGUGAGUGACGGUAAUGAGUAAGGAAGCACCGGCUAACUACGUG